UACGAGAGGCCCAAACGUUAUUCGGAUUUACUGGGCUUAAAGAGUUCGUAGGCGGUGCAGAAAGUCGCGUGUGAAAGCCCCCGGCUCAACUGGGGAGGGUCACGCGAUACUGAUCGACUCGAAGGCAGGAGAGGGUAGUGGAAUUCCCGGUGUAGUGGUGAAAUGCGUAGAUAUCGGGAGGAACACCAGUGGCGAAGGCGACUACCUGGCCUGUUCUUGACGCUGAGGCGCGAAAGCCAGGGGAGCAAACGGG
Molecule: ribosomal RNA, 253 nt
Filed under: uncultured bacterium
Lineage: Bacteria
Description: partial 16S ribosomal RNA
Rfam family: Bacterial small subunit ribosomal RNA
Source: RNAcentral